CCUGGCGGCCGUAGCGCGGUGGUCCCACCUGACCCCAUGCCGAACUCAGAAGUGAAACGCCGUAGCGCCGAUGGUA
This 76-nucleotide ribosomal RNA is filed under the name Escherichia coli. RNAcentral also lists the same sequence under 6 other names. Lineage: Bacteria; Pseudomonadati; Pseudomonadota; Gammaproteobacteria; Enterobacterales; Enterobacteriaceae. The record is from RNAcentral.